AGGUUGAUGGUUGAUGAAUCGGAACUCUGAUGAGUCAAACACAAAGAAGGAAAAUUCUACAUUCCUACCUUGUCAUCUCAAAGACUAGAGGGUCCACAAAGCUACCAUGGACACGCAGAGAUUUGAUAGCUGUUAUUUCUACCUCUGCCACAUGUCGCGAUCAGGACAGAGGUCAGUCAAAUUGAUGAAAUUGAAGAGCUCAUAUUUAAUCUUCAUGAGUAUGUUUAGCCCAUUGUUAAGGUUGGUUCAUGUUUUCCUCAAACUCAUUAGUUUUGCAUAUAAUCAUGUUUUAGUAUGCCAAUUGGGUGACUUAUCUUACUUUGCUCUAUAUAUUUUCUUAAGUUUAAUUUAAAUUGAUUGUUAGUAUAAGUUCAUUGGUGAAGUAACCAUAAUUAUUUGGGUCGGAGAAUUUUUUUCUUCUCACAUAUAUAGAUAAUUUGUUAGGGUGUGCACAAUUGGGGCAUUACACCAUUUUUUGUUUCUUUUGACUGAUAUGCAUCUUUGAUUUUUUGUUUCACAAGGGUUCCACCCCAAGAUUCACAAAUACACUAGAUACAAUUCUUUCACCACAGUCCUUUUAAAUUGAUGAAGGAGGGUUUUUUGUUCUUCAAGACUUCAUUUUGGGUUUUUGUUUCAAUCUUCUUCAUGAAUUGAUUUUGUUCUUCAGCUAAUUGUAAGAUGUCAUAUGCUUCAAGGAUUCAUGCUUUUCUCUUAAUCAAAAGCAAAAAGAUUGAGGAAAAGAAAAUCUUUUGGGGUGCAGAAUAUUCAUUUAUUGGAAAAAAAAUUACACGUGUCAUUCUCAGGUUAAUUCUCAUAAAAAAAUACAUUUUAAAAUUUAAGAUUUGAUUAGGAUUUAGGUUGUUUAUUUCUUGAUUUUAUUUUAAUUUAUUUUUGAUUUAUUUUUAAAGUAAAAGAAAAUACAUUUUUAAAUUUUAGAUUUGAUUAGGAUUUAGGUGAUUUAUUUCUUGAUUUUAUCUUUAUUUAUUUUUUUUUUUUUUUUGAGUAUUAAUUAAUAUACCCUUAACUUUUUUUAAGAAGAGUGAGUUUGAAAGCUAUAGCUUAAGUUAAUUUGUUAAUAUAUUCCCAAAUAAUAAUAAUAAUGAUAAUAACAUAUGUGUGCGGGUAUGAGCCGGUUGGGUACUAUAGUGCUCAUACCCACUAUUUUUUGUGGGACCUAUACCCAACCUCAUAUUCUUUUAGCGGUUUUUUACCCUACUCAUAGUGAGUAUUUUUUGCGGGUACCCUAUGAUUUCAUGACUCAUUGUCAUCCCUAGAUUUAGAUUUUGGCAAAGAUUGAUAGCUUCGUAUAAUGACAUUGAAUUGUCUAAAGGUGGAGAGCUUCGAGUUGCUACCCACGUGAGUAUAGGGACGAGUAUAUGUAAUUUUUAAAAACGCGGGUAUGGGGAUGGUACUAUAGUACCUACCCAUUUUCAUCCCUACUUAGUUGGAAUAAACACAAUAAUGUUAUAUUUUAUGAUUUAUCUUACACAAUCCUGAUUUAUGCUACUUCUACAUUCAUUUUUUUUAAAGAUUAAUAUGUUGGUAAUUUCUUAUAUCUAUGAUUUGUGUUAUCGUCUUAACGAGUUCCCGUUGGUCUCAAUCGGGCUUAGAAGAUAAGUCCUUAUGUUCACUUUACUCAUCAAUUCUGACUCUUAUAUUUCAUUCGUUGUUUAAUAUAUUUUUAAUAAUCAAAGUAUUAAUUAAUGUAUCAAAUACAAUAGACAUAUUCUCUGUACAACGCGCGGGUAAAAAACACUAGUAUAUAAUAAUUUGUGUAUAUUAGGUGUAGUGGUUGAUGGCGGAUGGCUGAUGGUUGAUGAAUGGAACACCAUAGAAUGAAAAGAAGGAAAAUUCUACCUUGCCAUCUCAAACACACUAGAUGAAAAAAAAAAUUGAAUUAUUUUGACAUGCAAUAAAAUAUUUAUAUUCAAUAGAAAAACGUAACGUAUAGUGACUUAUGUUAGUAAUUGAUAAAGACUUCAGAAAGUUUUCUAGAAGGACAAUUUUAUUUUUUUGAAAUGAAUGCAAACAUAAAACAGGAACCUCGUUCUAGAAGGAUAAAUUUACCUUCAUACUCCAUGAAAAGUGAAAUAUGGGGUUGAGAGAAAAACUAGAUUUGAGGAAAAAAUAUAGAAAAUAAAUUAAAAGAUGUGACAUGUGAUAUAUAUGAUUGAGACUUUAUAAAAAGAUAAAUAAAAAGUAGCG
Molecule: long non-coding RNA, 2205 nt
Organism: Lotus japonicus
Lineage: Eukaryota; Viridiplantae; Streptophyta; Magnoliopsida; Fabales; Fabaceae
Exons: 3
Source: RefSeq, a predicted model, not a curated record